This 257-nucleotide ribosomal RNA is filed under the name uncultured bacterium. RNAcentral's name for it is "partial 16S ribosomal RNA". It matches the Rfam family "Bacterial small subunit ribosomal RNA", at positions 793 to 1055 of the family's 1533-position model. The record is from RNAcentral.
GUCCACGCCCUAAACGAUGUCUACUGGUUGUUGGGUUUCGAACCUUAGUAACGAAGCUAACGCGAGAAGUAGACCGCCUGGGGAGUACGGCCGCAAGGUUAAACUCAAAGGAAUUGACGGGGCCCGCACAAGCGGUGGAUGAUGUGGAUUAAUUCGAUGCAACGCGAAACCUUACCUGGUCUUGACAUGUACGGAAUCCUUUAGAGAUAGAGGAGUGCCUUUCGGGAGCCGUAACACAGGUGCUGCAUGGCUGUCGU